Molecule: transfer RNA, 75 nt
Filed under: Candidatus Giovannonibacteria bacterium RIFCSPHIGHO2_02_FULL_44_31
Lineage: Bacteria; Candidatus Giovannoniibacteriota
Also listed under: 3 other names
Description: tRNA-Val
Rfam family: tRNA
About the family: Transfer RNA (tRNA) molecules are approximately 80 nucleotides in length.
Source: RNAcentral
GCGUCCUUAGCUCAGUGGUAGAGCGUUCCGUUCACAUCAGAGAGGCCGCAGGUCCGAUCCCUGCAGGACGCACCA